UGGUAGUGUAUUGGACAACCAUCGCAGUCACGGGUAACGGAGAAUUAGGGUUCGAUUCCGGAGAGGGAGCCUGAGAAACGGCUACCACAUCUACGGAAGGCAGCAGGCGCGAAAAUUGCCCAAUCCCGACUCGGGGAGGCAGCGACAAGAAAUAACAACUCUAGCUUAUGCUAGAAGUGUAAUGAGGAUAAUUUACAAACCUUACCGAAUGCAAUUGGAGGGCAAGUCUGGUGCCAGCAGCCGCGGUAAUUCCAGCUCCAAUAGCGUAUAUUAAAGUUGUUGCAGUUAAAAAGCUCGUAGUUGAAGUUCUGGCUGCUCGGGUCCUCAGCCUAAGGCGGGGAUACCGACAGUCAUCCGCUUGCAAGCAUAUGUUCGGCCUUAAACAGCUGGCUAUGUGAGUAAGCAAUUUACCUUGAGAAAAACAGAGUGUUCCAGGCAGGUUUGUCCGGGAUGCAUUAGCAUGGAAUAAUAGAACAUGACUGAAGUCUAUUGAUUGGUUUAAGGCUUUAGUAAUGAUUAAUAGGAACAGUCGGGGGCAUUCGUACUCAGCAGUCAGAGGUGAAAUUCUAAGAUUUGCUGAAGACGAACUAAUGCGAAAGCAUUUGCCAAGGAUGUUUUCAUUAAUCAAGAACGAAAGUUAGGGGAUCAAAGACAAUCAGA
This 660-nucleotide ribosomal RNA is filed under the name uncultured ciliate. RNAcentral's name for it is "SSU rRNA". It matches the Rfam family "Eukaryotic small subunit ribosomal RNA", at positions 326 to 1012 of the family's 1831-position model. The record is from RNAcentral. Lineage: Eukaryota; Ciliophora.